Molecule: long non-coding RNA, 2771 nt
Organism: Cygnus olor (mute swan)
Lineage: Eukaryota; Metazoa; Chordata; Aves; Anseriformes; Anatidae
Exons: 3
Source: RefSeq, a predicted model, not a curated record
GGCUUGAGGACUGAACGCUGCAACUAUUUCCAGCUCGUGGCUAACACAAUCCUGUUCCCUGUAGCCAGUGUAGCAGCUUACACCAGUAUUUGCCAGAACCCACAUCAGACAGAAGUACCGAGCCUGUACGGUAAAUAAUUCUCCUGAACCAGUUUCAAGCCAACCACUGCUGCGAUACUGUGUUUUGAGAGGGGCUCAUCCUGCAGGUGGGCAGCAGUACCCCUGGACCUACUUGGUAACACCACAGUGGCCUGAUGAGCCCAGCAGCACUGGCUUCAACUCACCAACAUGAAGAUACGGUCACCUGUGGUAGGAGCCAGUAGUGCCACAUCGCAAUUCCAGACCGUCACAGAUGAGAAAAUAAAGACGUGACAACGGCAAUAACAGGUGGAAGUUCUGUAACUUGGACUAACUUUGACAAAGAGGUGUAUUUUGUCACUCAGACUGACAGAGGUUAAGCAGUUGUCACCUUAUCGAGCUAUCGGACCUUUCUGGAGCGCAUUCAAUGCCAAAUUUGUUUUGCUUUUUCCAAAGACCCACUGGCACAUCAUCUGAGCUGCUUCAGAGCACACACACAGACUCCCCAGUGACUUUCAAGGACUGUUGAGCUGCACCCAGUUUCAGGGCUGAUGUUCAUUACCGCAACAGUUUUAAAUAAUUAGCACUGACUUAUGCAAUUUUAAUAUCCAAUAUUAAACUAUUUAAUAUGUGAUUUAUAUAAGUGCAGUCUUUAAUAGGUCUUACAAGAGCUGUUAACCUGAAUAGGACAGAAGGUAGUUAUGCGCCCUUUCCAGCAAUGUAAGAGAGGACCUGGGUCUGACUGGUUGACACCACAUUAAAACUUUUUACUAAGAGCUAAAGAUCAUACGCAAAUAACUGGAUCACAAAAGGGAAUGUAUUAGAUGAUGCACACGGACUUAAAUUAACGUUACUGCAAUCUGCAGUUAUUCCCCACCAGCAGGGUCAGGGGUACUGAGGUUUCAGAAAAGGUGACCGGCAGAAUUUCUCAUGGCCUCUACCCCACCGUUCUCAAUGCAGCAGAAAAGGCAGGCAACAAAACAUCAGCCUGCUUUUGGGCUCUGAACACAGGGGCUCUGGCUCUUGGCUGCACUGAUGACAUGCUAGGUAGCAAGGAGUGGUUCUCUUCAUCUCCUACACCUCAGUUUUCUCUGCUGUGUAAAACCAAGAUGGUUUUACACAGAGAUGUUGGCAUCUACACAAAUCUGCUUAAGUAUUCAUGAAAAAAAUGUAUGUAAUAGCAAGGAAUAUUAAUAACUAAUAUUGCCAUUAAUAAUACAGCUACAGAGUGAGCACCACUUGAGAAAGAUACUGAUCUUUUAGAAAAACUCACUCACUACAGCACACACCAAAAGCAGGAAAGAAAUCGUGACUUCUCCUAGAGAUUUUAACUGCCUGGAAAAAGGAUACACAUGCUGUUUCUCAGUUUUUACUCCUGUUAUCUUGGACAGGUCUUAACAGCAGGAGCUCCUCGAGUCAUCUCGCUCAGACACCCUUCUCUCUGCCACGCACUUGUCAAUAGAACACCCGCCUGUGACUUCACAGAGGGUGCGGUAACACUAGGGAUCUCCUCCAGCCUCCUGCCCCAAGUGGGGCACUGCUACUCUAUUACUGCCAUCACAUUGGGCUGCUCUAACAGGCUGAAACAGCGUGAGCUCUCCUUUUUUCCCUGGCCUCAUCUCCUUCACAGGUUCUGUACAUGACUGAGCAGAGCACCCUCCACGCAAAAGCAUUUUGUCCACAGAGUCAGUGACUUCUCUGCAACUGCACGCAAAGUGAAAUUCAUCCUCCUUAAGAAAAGGAACCACUGAAGGAGGAGCAACCCAAUGAAAAUGUCACCUUUCAGUCUGCAGGGAAGUCAUAUCCUGAACAAAGCUAGAGGUAGGAAGCAGCAUUAGAGCUCCCCUCAGCAGAUUGCGCUUGUUCUGCCCGCAUACCCUACAGGAGAGGAUCCAGGACAGCAGCACAGAUGCCUUCCUUUGCAGUGUAUUGUGAGGAAGGCAAACAGCCCAGGGACAUGAACUGCAACAAGACAGGUUUUGCAUUGCCUUCACACCCACCCCAUCCAUUCGAGUGAGCACAAAGGCUGGGAGACAGGAGGUGGAUCAGGUUGCAUGCUUCCAAGUUAAAACACAGCAAAGCAAGCCCCCAUCAUACAGCGGACCUAAAACCUCCAAGCCAUCAGCUGAAGGUACAAGGUAAGAAACGGCCUCUGGAAUGGCCACAGGUCUCCUGCCAUGCUUCCAAGACUGACCGCAAGCAUCGGCGCGACACCGGCAUUAUGAGAGCAGCUCUGGACCCGUCCACCCACUGCAUAGCACCGUAGCGUUGCUCAGAGUUUUCAGCACUCUGCUUCUGGAUGAGGCUGUAAUGGGAAAUCCUAAUUAAAGGCACAGAAGGAAAAAGGCCUUCCAGACAAUUAAUAAUCAACCUAGCGUUAGGUUAAAACCGCGUUUUAAUUGGUCUGUAAUGAGGCAACAAUGUAUCUCUGAUUCCAUUCAAAACUGAAAAGCCUGCUUCAGGUAAAUGAAACCAACGUGUUCAUAAAGACGGGUAGUUAUCAACCUUGUUCCAUAUGGCACCAUAAAUUAUCAAGAACAGGUAAUGAAGCAGUGCCAACAAGUAAAUACUUCACAAUACCACUUUCCUUAGAUCUCUCAGUGGGGGUGGAUUCUCACUGUGAUGACCAUGAAAGCACCCCACAAAAAUAAACAGUUCAGCCCGCCCACCCUUUACUGAAAUAUGGACAGCGG